Molecule: long non-coding RNA, 263 nt
Organism: Sinocyclocheilus rhinocerous
Lineage: Eukaryota; Metazoa; Chordata; Actinopteri; Cypriniformes; Cyprinidae
Exons: 3
Source: RefSeq, a predicted model, not a curated record
UGAACGCAGAACAGCUAUUCACCGGCCGGCCACUAGAGGGGGACCGCGAACGCAAAAAAACAUGUGGCUCUUCUCAGCUCACUGACAUUGUGUCACACAAACAAAGAAAAAUGCCAGAAGAAGUUCCUGCCCAGUGCAAGGCUCCCAAAGAUGAGCUGGACAAAUGUGUUCAGGGGAAGGGUGCAGAGGGCUGUAAGGAGCUGCUGGAAGCUUUUGAGGCCUGUGUGAAGGGGACCACGGCAGCCUCAUGAGGGGACAUGGAU